This is a non-coding RNA of Odocoileus virginianus texanus, 783 nucleotides long. NCBI's taxonomy places the organism in Eukaryota, Metazoa, Chordata, Mammalia, Artiodactyla, Cervidae. The record is from RefSeq and is a predicted model, not a curated record.
GUUACAGUACUUAGGGUCGCAAAGAGUCAAGCGACUUAGCACAAUCUAAGCACGAAGUGAGUUACGGAAUCAUAGGGCCUUCCCAUUUUAAUGCCCCCUCCUCACAGGGAGUCUUUCUUUGCUUAAGAAGCUCAGUUUGUGUUCUUGGGUGUGGGCUAUACUGUUUCUCUUUCCCAAAGCACUUGGUGGUUUUUAAGAGGUUCUUUGCCUGCAGGAGCUCCUCUAAACCCACAGUUGAGGAGGGACUGUGAUGGAAUUUGUUGCUAAGUGCAUGGAAUGGCUUAUGGAGCAUUGUGACUCAAGCCCUGUAUUACCUUAAGCAAAGUACUUAACCUCUCUGUGCCUCAACUUCACCUUCUGUAAAAUGAGAUGAUGCUAUGAUCUCACAGGCUGCUGUAAAGAAGUGGAGGCCCAGGGAGCUGAAGUUUUUCCAGCAUUUCCCACUGGAAUUCUCUCCAGCCUGAGGAAUGAGACCGCGGCCUACCCUUUGCCACCUGAGGACCCCCAGAGACAGCAGGAACGGAUUGAACAGCGUGGGACGGUCCCCGGGCAUCCGCCAUGAGGUCACCAGUCGGCCCUUGAGUGGGCUCCCAGCCUUGCCCUCCGCUGGCCUCUUGUCUGCCUGUCAAACAGGGUCCAGUGUUGGCCCCCAGGUCCCUUUGGUGGGAUGGGGGAGUCCCUGAUGACAGCCUCCCCUGCCCAUGCUGCCAUGCCCACCUCAAAGGCCCAGAGUUGCCAUCUUCCUCCAUCCCAGAACUGCCAAGAAAAGAGCUUGUGAACUCA